This 344-nucleotide ribosomal RNA is filed under the name Ehrlichia canis. Its description in RNAcentral is "bacterial SSU rRNA". It matches the Rfam family "Bacterial small subunit ribosomal RNA", at positions 63 to 424 of the family's 1533-position model. The record is from RNAcentral. Lineage: Bacteria; Pseudomonadati; Pseudomonadota; Alphaproteobacteria; Rickettsiales; Anaplasmataceae.
UCAAUUAUUUAUAGCCUCUGGCUAUAGGAAAUUGUUAGUGGCAGACGGGUGAGUAAUGCGUAGGAAUCUACCUAGUAGUACGGAAUAGCCAUUAGAAAUGGUGGGUAAUACUGUAUAAUCCCCGAGGGGGAAAGAUUUAUCGCUAUUAGAUGAGCCUACGUUAGAUUAGCUAGUUGGUGAGGUAAUGGCUUACCAAGGCUAUGAUCUAUAGGUGGUGUGAGAGGACGAUCAGCCACACUGGAACUGAGAUACGGUCCAGACUCUACGGGAGGCAGCAGUGGGGAAUAUUGGACAAUGGGGAAAGCCUGAUCCAGUAUGCCGCGUGAGUGAAGAAGGCUCGGGUU